This 300-nucleotide unclassified non-coding RNA is filed under the name uncultured Ascomycota. RNAcentral's name for it is "sequence contains 5.8S rRNA gene, ITS2". The stretch from base 1 to 101 matches the Rfam family "5.8S ribosomal RNA", at positions 45 to 154 of the family's 154-position model. Lineage: Eukaryota; Fungi; Ascomycota. The record is from RNAcentral.
GCGGCAGCGUCAGAUGUGUAUAAGAGACAGGUGAAUCAUCGAAUCUUUGAACGCACAUUGCGCCCCUUGGUAUUCCGAGGGGCAUGCCUGUUCGAGCGUCAUUAUGACCAAUCAAGCUUGGCUUGGUGUUGGGGUUCGCGGUUUCGCGGCUCUUAAAAUCAGUGGCAGUGCCGCCUGGCUCUAAGCGUAGUAAUUCUCUCGCUAUUGGGUCUGGUGGUAACUUGCCAGAAAUCAAUCUCACGGUUGACCUCGGAUCAGGUAGGGAUACCCGCUGAACUUAAGCAUAUCAAUAAGCGGAGG